RNAcentral lists this ribosomal RNA (579 nucleotides) under uncultured bacterium. RNAcentral's name for it is "bacterial SSU rRNA". It matches the Rfam family "Bacterial small subunit ribosomal RNA", at positions 338 to 916 of the family's 1533-position model. The record is from RNAcentral.
CCUACGGGAGGCAGCAGUGGGGAAUCUUGCGCAAUGGCCUAACGGCUGACGCAGCGACGCCGCGUGUGGGAUGAAGCUCUUCGGAGUGUAAACCACUGUUGCCCGGGACGAAUAGCUCGAUUAAUCGAGCCUGACGGUACCGGGUGAGGAAGCACCGGCUAACUCCGUGCCAGCAGCCGCGGUAAUACGGGGGGUGCGAGCGUUGUCCGGAAUCACUGGGCGUAAAGGGCGCGUAGGUGGUUUGAUAAGGGCGUGGUGAAAGUCCGGGGCUCAACCCCGGAUCUGCCGUGCCGACUGUCAAACUCGAGGACUGUAGAGGCAGACGGAAUUCCGGGUGUAGCGGUGGAAUGCGUAGAGAUCCGGAGGAAGACCGGUGGCGAAGGCGGUCUGCUGGGCAGUUUCUGACACUGAGGCGCGACAGCGUGGGGAGCAAACAGGAUUAGAUACCCUGGUAGUCCACGCCGUAAACGAUGGGUACUAGGUGCCUGGGGGAGCGACCCUCUGGGUGCCGGCGCUAACGCAGGAAGUACCCCGCCUGGGGAGUACGACCGCAAGGUUGAAACUCAAAGGAAUUGACGG